GCAGGUACAGAGGGAUGCUACCGGGCGACCGGAUGCGGAUCUCGAAAGCCUGUCCCAGUUCGGACUGGAGUCUGCAACCCGACUCCACGAAGUUGGAUUCGCUAGCAAUCGCGCAUCAGCCAUGGCGCGGUGAAUACGUUCCCGGGCCUUGUACACACCGCCCGUCAAGCCAUGGGAGCCGGGGGCGCCUGAAGUCCGGGACCGCGAGGACCGGCCUAGGGCGAAACUGGUAACUGGGGCUAAGUCGUAACAAGGUACC
This 259-nucleotide ribosomal RNA is filed under the name uncultured bacterium. RNAcentral's name for it is "partial 16S ribosomal RNA". It matches the Rfam family "Bacterial small subunit ribosomal RNA", at positions 1233 to 1500 of the family's 1533-position model. The record is from RNAcentral.